GAGUAACGCGUGAGGAACCUGCCUCAAAGAGGGGGACAACAGUUGGAAACGACUGCUAAUACCGCAUAAGCCCACGGCUCGGCAUCGAGCAGGGGGAAAAGGAGCAAUCCGCUUUGAGAUGGCCUCGCGUCCGAUUAGCUAGUUGGUGAGGUAACGGCCCACCAAGGCGACGAUCGGUAGCCGGACUGAGAGGUUGAACGGCCACAUUGGGACUGAGACACGGCCCAGACUCCUACGGGAGGCAGCAGUGGGGAAUAUUGCACAAUGGGGGAAACCCUGAUGCAGCGACGCCGCGUGGAGGAAGAAGGUCUUCGGAUUGUAAACUCCUGUUGUUGAGGAAGAUAAUGACGGUACUCAACAAGGAAGUGACGGCUAACUACGUGCCAGCAGCCGCGGUAAAACGUAGGUCACAAGCGUUGUCCGGAAUUACUGGGUGUAAAGGGAGCGCAGGCGGGAGAACAAGUUGGAAGUGAAAUCCAUGGGCUCAACCCAUGAACUGCUUUCAAAACUGUUUUUCUUGAGUAGUGCAGAGGUAGGCGGAAUUCCCGGUGUAGCGGUGGAAUGCGUAGAUAUCGGGAGGAACACC
Molecule: ribosomal RNA, 586 nt
Filed under: uncultured bacterium
Lineage: Bacteria
Description: bacterial SSU rRNA
Rfam family: Bacterial small subunit ribosomal RNA
Source: RNAcentral